AGGUCAGUCGGGACUACCCGCUGAGUUUA
Molecule: ribosomal RNA, 29 nt
Filed under: Teucrium rupestre
Lineage: Eukaryota; Viridiplantae; Streptophyta; Magnoliopsida; Lamiales; Lamiaceae
Description: partial 28S ribosomal RNA
Source: RNAcentral